GGCGGACGGGUGAGUAACGCGUAGGAAUCUACCUAGUAGUGGGGGACAACUCGGGGAAACUCGAGCUAAUACCGCAUACGCCCUACGGGGGAAAGCGGGGGACCUUCGGGCCUCGUGCUAUUAGAUGAGCCUGCGUUGGAUUAGCUAGUUGGUGGGGUAAAGGCCUACCAAGGCGACGAUCCAUAGCUGGUCUGAGAGGAUGACCAGCCACACCGGGACUGAGACACGGCCCGGACUCCUACGGGAGGCAGCAGUGGGGAAUAUUGCGCAAUGGGCGAAAGCCUGACGCAGCCAUGCCGCGUGUGUGAAGAAGGCCUUCGGGUUGUAAAGCACUUUCAAUUGGGAGGAAAGGUUCACGGUUAAUAACCGUGAACUGUGACGUUACCUUUAGAAGAAGCACCGGCUAACUCCGUGCCAGCAGCCGCGGUAAUACGGAGGGUGCAAGCGUUAAUCGGAAUUACUGGGCGUAAAGCGCGC
This 477-nucleotide ribosomal RNA is filed under the name uncultured Methylococcaceae bacterium. RNAcentral's name for it is "bacterial SSU rRNA". It matches the Rfam family "Bacterial small subunit ribosomal RNA", at positions 97 to 570 of the family's 1533-position model. The record is from RNAcentral. Lineage: Bacteria; Pseudomonadati; Pseudomonadota; Gammaproteobacteria; Methylococcales; Methylococcaceae.